AUUAAAAAUGACAUGUUAUGAUCUUUUUAUCAUAUGCUUCAACAGUAGAGAAAAAUAACAGAUUCAUAUAUUGAUCCUUCUACGUGGUUCCCGAAAAGAAGUUGAAAGAGUAAAAAGUUCACGGACGUCGGACACAAAAUUUGAUACAUUCAAUAUGAAAUAUUUCCAUCAUAUGCCUCAACAGAGAAAAAAAACAGAUUUUAAUAUAAACG
RNAcentral lists this long non-coding RNA (212 nucleotides) under Mytilus galloprovincialis (Mediterranean mussel). The record is from RNAcentral. Lineage: Eukaryota; Metazoa; Mollusca; Bivalvia; Mytilida; Mytilidae.